AACGAACGCUGGCGGCAUGCCUAACACAUGCAAGUCGAACGAGACCUUCGGGUCUAGUGGCGCACGGGUGCGUAACGCGUGGGAACCUGCCCUUAGGUUCGGAAUAACUCCCCGAAAGGGGUGCUAAUACCGGAUAAUUUCUUCGGACCAAAGAUUUAUCGCCUUUGGAUGGGCCCGCGUUGGUUUAGCUAGUUGGUAGGGUAAAAGCCUACCAAGGCGACGAUCCAUAGCUGGUCUGAGAGGAUGAGCAGCCACACUGGGACUGAGACACGGCCCAGACUCCUACGGGAGGGAGCAGUGGGGAAUAUUGGACAACGGGCGAAAGGCUGAACCAGCAAUGCCGGGUGAGUGAUGAAGGCCUUAGGGUUGUAAAGCUCUUUUACCCGGGAUGAUAAUGACAGUACCGGGAGAAUAAGCUCCGGCUAACUCCGUG
RNAcentral lists this ribosomal RNA (433 nucleotides) under uncultured bacterium. Its description in RNAcentral is "partial 16S ribosomal RNA". It matches the Rfam family "Bacterial small subunit ribosomal RNA", at positions 29 to 507 of the family's 1533-position model. The record is from RNAcentral.